RNAcentral lists this transfer RNA (78 nucleotides) under Bacteroidota bacterium. RNAcentral's name for it is "Bacteroidetes bacterium tRNA-Lys". It matches the Rfam family "tRNA". Rfam says of the family: Transfer RNA (tRNA) molecules are approximately 80 nucleotides in length. Their secondary structure includes four short double-helical elements and three loops (D, anti-codon, and T loops). Further hydrogen bonds mediate the characteristic L-shaped molecular structure. tRNAs have two regions of fundamental functional importance: the anti-codon, which is responsible for specific mRNA codon recognition, and the 3' end, to which the tRNAs corresponding amino acid is attached (by aminoacyl-tRNA synthetases). tRNAs cope with the degeneracy of the genetic code in two manners: having more than one tRNA (with a specific anti-codon) for a particular amino acid; and 'wobble' base-pairing, i.e. permitting non-standard base-pairing at the 3rd anti-codon position. Lineage: Bacteria; Pseudomonadati; Bacteroidota. The record is from RNAcentral.
GUAUCUAUAGCUCAGAUGGCAGGUAGCACUCCCCUUUUAAGGGAGGGGUCCAAGGUUCGAGUCCUUGUGGAUACACAA